This 253-nucleotide ribosomal RNA is filed under the name uncultured bacterium. RNAcentral describes it as "partial 16S ribosomal RNA". It matches the Rfam family "Bacterial small subunit ribosomal RNA", at positions 524 to 776 of the family's 1533-position model. The record is from RNAcentral.
UACAGAGGGGGCAAGCGUUGUUCGGAAUUACUGGGCGUAAAGGGCGCGUAGGCGGCCGCCUAAGUCAGACGUGAAAUCCCUCGGCUCAACCGGGGAACUGCGUCUGAUACUGGGUGGCUUGAAUCCGGGAGAGGGAUGCGGAAUUCCAGGUGUAGCGGUGAAAUGCGUAGAUAUCUGGAGGAAUACCGGUGGCGAAGGCGGCAUCCUGGACCGGCAUUGACGCUGAGGAGCGAAAGCCAGGGGAGCAAACAGG